RNAcentral lists this ribosomal RNA (591 nucleotides) under Triticum aestivum (bread wheat). RNAcentral describes it as "partial small subunit ribosomal RNA". The record is from RNAcentral. Lineage: Eukaryota; Viridiplantae; Streptophyta; Magnoliopsida; Poales; Poaceae.
AUGAUGGCUAUAUUUUAUGAUUUUUGUGAAAAGAUUUGUGAGCUUUUCAUGGAUGACUUCUCCGUCUAUGGAUCCUCUUUUGAUGAUUGUUUGAGCAACCUUGAUCGAGUUUUGAAGAGAUGCGAAGACACUAGUCUCGUCCUGAAUUGGGAAAAGUGUUACUUUAUGGUUAAUGAAGGCAUUGUCUUGGGGCACAAGAUCUUCGAGAGAGGUAUUGAAGUUGAUAAAGCCAAAGUUGAUGCUAUUGAAAAGAUACCAUGUCCCAAGGACAUUAAAGGUAUAAGAAGUUUCCUUGGUCACGCCGGUUUUUAUAGGAGGUUCAUUAAGGACUUUUCUAAAAUCUCUAGGCCUCUGACUAAUUUAUUGCAAAAAGAUAUUCCUUUUGUCUUUGAUGAUGAUUGUGUAGAAGCAUAUGAAACACUUAAGAAAGCUUUGAUCACUGCACCUAUUGUUCAGCCGCCUGAUUGGAAUUUACCUUUUCAAAUUAUGUGCGAUGCUAGUGAUUAUGCUGUAGGUGUUGUUUUAGGGCAAAGAGUCGAUAAGAUAUUGAAUGUUAUCCAGUAUGCUAGUAAGACUCUUGAUACUGGCUAG